This 7468-nucleotide long non-coding RNA is filed under the name Ricinus communis (castor bean). RNAcentral describes it as "long non-coding RNA (RCOM_LNC000777)". Lineage: Eukaryota; Viridiplantae; Streptophyta; Magnoliopsida; Malpighiales; Euphorbiaceae. The record is from RNAcentral.
UAUAGAUAAAUAACAAAUAUACAAUAUGUUUGUAAAAUGAAUAUUAAUCUAGGAUACUAUGGAUAUUUAAAUCGAAUGAGUCAUAUUUACCAAAUAAACAUAUGAUUAGAUGUUUAGAUAAAAAAAAUUCUAAUUUUGGUUAAUAAUGUUUCAAUUUAUUAAUAACAAAUUAUUAAUGUUAGCGUAAAAUUAAUUUGAAUUAUGAAAACAUUGAGCUCAAUUAUUUAAAAAUUUUAAAAAUUAACUUGGCUAAUGCAUUUAUAGAUAUAAAUAGCUUAGUUUUCAAAAAUAAAAUUUAGAUAAACUAGUUAUAAUUUAAGAAUUAUGCAAUUUUAUAUUAAUAGUAUUUAUUAUUCUAAAUUUAGUAAUUAUUUUAUUUUUUUAUUAUAGACGAGUUUAAAUAUUAAUAUUCGCGUGCAAUACAGGUGAGUAAAAAUCUAGUUUGUAUUAAAAAAAAGACAAGGAUAUAAUUAUCAUCAAACACAAAAAGCAUAGACAUUAACUUGUUUAUAAUAAAAAGCAUAUAGAAACUAAAUUUGGUAAAAAAAAUCUUAAUUUUUUGGUACUAAUUGAUAAUGAAUCACCUAUCAAACAAGAAAGCAUAGAAAUUAAAUUGUUUAUAAUAAAAAGCUUAUAAAAACUAAAUUUGGUAUGAAUAAUUCUUAAUUUAGUGGUACUAAUUGAUGAUGUAUCACCUAUAAACUAAGUAAGCAUAUGCUUUUUAUAGUGUUGUUUUCUUUGUCAUUUUAUGGCUUUAUGGUUUUGAUUUUUAUAAGGGAAAAUUGCAUUUGGUUUUAGGCUAAAUUAUUUUCACUAUUCUAGAAUUCUAAGGCUAGUACCACCAAAGUCUCUAAUUUUCAAUUUGUAAUAUUAAAUUCUCUAAAUUUUUAUCUUUAUAUCAAAAAACUUCAUACCGCAUAUUUAGUUAAGUACUAUAAUAGAAAUAUAAUAUGAUAGUCCACUUAUAAAAAACUUUCUUUAAAAUAAAUAAAUUCACAUUAUUUUAGUGAAAUACAUAGUCCCAUUUAUUUUCUUUUCUCUAUAUUUCUUUCUCUCUCUCAGCUUUUCUAUCUUUUUCUUUUUUCUUCCUCUUUUUACUCUACCUUUCUCUUUUUCUUUAUCUUUUCAUCUUUUAAUUUUUCAAAACUUUAGCCACCAUUCAAGUGGAUUGAGCAACAAUAACUUUUCAAAAAUUAUUUUCUUUUAUUUUCACCAAAAUCAAAUUCACAAAUAUACAAAUACUAUAAAUUUUAAAAAUCCCACAAUUUCUUCUUCACUAUCUUUAGGUUUUUGCAAUGUAGGAGGCUCUUUCCAUCAUCAAUGCAACAAAAAUAAUGUUGAUUGUUUGCUUGUCAGUCUCGUUCCACUGCUCUUCUUUAGUGUCUAUCAUUCAUGUCGAUCAAGCAACAAUAAAAUCAAAAGGAACGAGAAAUUAGUUGAACGGAUACUUUUUUUGUGAGUUUUUAUUUGUGAUUAUAGAUCUUCUUCUUCUUUUUAAUUUAGUUUAGCAGUAGAAAUUAAUUUUAUGAAUUUUGUUUUUAAGAGUUUAAAUUGAUCUGUAAUUACUGGUCUUUAUUUUUUUUAAUUAGUUUAAUAUAUUUUGAAAAAUAAUAAUUUUUUUUUCUUAUUUAUAUAUAUAUAAUUUUUAGUUUAUGAUCUUAUUUCUUUUGUAAUAAGGAAACGAUGAUUCGUGGUGGUAACGGUGGACGAGAGAAUAAUGAUAGUGGAGAUAGAAGUGUGGUUUUUAGAUAUGAAUUUAGAAUUUCAGAAGUUGCUAUAUUGAUUUUGAUAGAUCAUUAAAUUUUUUUUUUUUUUUUUUACUUUGAGCUUUAAAAUUAGGGACUGUAAUGUGAUGGAUUUUAGAGUAUAUACAGUAAAUGAAGAAGAAGAAAUGAAAAAGAAGGGAAGAGAUGAGAAUUUGAAUAAUAGGACAUGUGUUGUUAAUAUGUCUUAUUCAAAUAUAUGUAUUUUUCUAAAAAAAAAUUUACAGGUUGCUAUGUUAUUUUUUCGUCUAGAAUUUAAUGGAAAUUAACAGUAGAAAACUUUUUUGAUAUGAAAAUCGAAAUUUAGAUAGACAUGUGAUUUACGGUAUCAUUAUAAAUUUGUGACUUGUACUUUGGUUUUAUAAGAUUGACUGUUGGUUAAUGUGAAUUACGGUAUCAUCAUAGACCUCCUGGUUACGGAAACUUGGGCUCAAAUUUAGCCCUUCAAGAGAAGUAGCAAUAAUGAUGGACCAAUUCAUAAACUAUGUCAAGACUAAAACUCUCCAGGUAUUAUCUGUUCCAUUAACUCAUAACUUCAUAAUUUUAUCCUUGCAAAGAAAAGGAUUCUAAAAUAACUGGUAUUUAAUUUAUAAAAUUUAAGUACUUAACUCUGAAUUUAUGUGGAAUAUGAUACUAUCACUACUCUAAUAGAAUAGAUUUCAAAUUCAAAUAUUGUUAGUGUUGAAAAUUUAUUUAAUUAAUUUUCUCAUUUUUACUCAAGUUUCUUAACUUUUAUUAAAAAUAGUAUUUGACAAUAUUAUUAAUUUAAUUUUUAUUUAAAAUAUGAUUUAAUUUUCAGUCUCAGUUUUUAUGAUAAAUAAUACGAUAAUUAGAAAUAUUCUUUUCAAAAAAUCAAAAUAAAAACUAAAUUACAAAAUAGCAAAUGGAAAAAUCUACUUCCGUGCUUAAGUUAUCUUGUUUGAUUACUUGUUAUAUCAAUUAUUAAUUCGGUUAAUGAUGUAUUGGGCUUGAUUACAAAUUCAAUCCAUUAGGCAGUAUCCAACUUAACUAGUAAACCAACUUAACCCAAAUUCAUCCAAAAACAAUGAAUUGGGUGUAUUAUUGGUUUGAGUUAGUUUUUAGUAUGAAUCUUUUUCGAGGAAUUUACAUGGUGUAUGUUUUUUUUACAUAUAAUGUUUACUUUUAUACCACACCUUUUGAAUUUUAUUUUUUUUUGCUAAUCCUUAUUUUCUUUUUGGAUGUAGUUUUGAAGCUUUGUAUUUGGUUAUGGACUUUUCAUCGCAUUUUGUUACUAUUUAUUCUUUUUUCUUUGAUUUAUUUUCAGAACAACUUUUAACUGUUAUUUUCUCAAUUUUUGAUCUAAACUCUAAAAAGAUUGCAGCAAAUCUAACAACUAUCUCAUCAAUAAUUCACAAAUUCACUUCAUCAAAUAGAAAAAUAAAAAAUUAGAGAUUUUUUGAAGAUAAAUUCAUUAGUUCUUUAACUUUAUAAGAGUUAAUUAAAUCUAAUUUCAAACUUUUAUUUAGUUGAUUUUGUGUUAUUUUAAAUUUAAUAUAUUAAAAUACUUCAAAAAUUAUCACAUUGUGAUUUAUUAAAUAUUUUAAAGUUAUAAAAGAUGAAUGUUGAAUUUCAAAACUAAGAUCUACCAAAAACUAAAUACUUAGAUCNNNUAAUAUAUCAUAAGUAUAUAUUUUUAAAAUUUAGUAAAUUUAUUUUUAUAUUAUAUGUGCUUGAUAUAUGACUUAUAAAAUUUUUGUAUAUUAAGUAUUAUAUGAUAUAGGUAUAUAAAAGGAUAAAUUAUUUGUAUAUUAUAUAGAAAAAAAUUUAUUUUCCUAAAAUAUAAAGAUAAUUUUUUAAGUAUAUUGAAAAGUAUAUAGUAAGUAUAUAAUGAGUUUAUUUUAGGUAUAUGAUAUUAUGAUUUUCAUUAUUUUUUUUGCAUUCAAUUUUUAAAAAUACUCUUAUUUUUUAAUAUAUAUAUGGACUAUCUAUUUUUCUUCACCACAAUAGAUAUUGGAAAAAAAAUGAGAUACAUAGACUUUGAUACAAAUGACAUUUAAUAGCAAUAACUUUUAUAUUCAAUUUUAUGACUUUGUUUAAUGAAUUAAAAUUUGUGUAACUAAAUAUUUUUUUAUAAUUAGUUAAUAACUAUUAUGAGUGGUUAAAAUUAUUUAUUAGAAUCUAUAGUACUUUUGCAAUAAAUAUAUAAGUCUUAAUAAAUUAAAAAAUGGCAGUAGACACUCAUAUCAUACUCAUAAUAUAAUCAACAUAUAUUAUAUAUUGUUGAAGAGGAAAUUUUAAAUAUUGUUAUAAUUUUUUAUUAGAUCUUCAAAAUAUAGAACUUGUAGCUUUUCUUUAUUUUUUUUUAUAUUCUACUAGUUUUACAUAUUACGGUUCUUUUUUAUGAGAAACAAAUCAAGUAUAAUUAUGAUUUUUAAUCAACAAGCUUAUAACUAUCAGAAAAGGCUUGUGAUCAUAUUGUUCUCUUACGCAAAAUCCAAAAAAGAUGAAGGUUUUGAUAGUGAGUUUGAAUCAUGUGGCAAGCUUAAGAAGGUGGAUAGACAAAAGAAAAUUUAGGAAAGAAACUUGAUGUAAUUUUUAUAUGGUAUUUUUGUUGACGCAUUGUACAUUAUUGAUUUUGAUACUAAGUAGGUAUUAUUUUCUCAUAGAUAUGAUUUUAGUUGUAAAUUUUAUUUGUUUGAUUUUGUUAUAAAUGAUUUGUAUAUAUGAAAAAAAUUAUUGUUUUAGUUUAAAUACGUAAGUGCUAGUCCUUUUGGCCAUCAAAUGCAUAUUUAGAUUUAAGCAUGUUUAAAUGUAAGUUAAAUAUACUCAGAAUGUACUAUGAAGAUAUCCUUUAUAUAUUCACAAUAUACUUAUAAUAUAUUUUGAUGAUACUCUUUGUAUACUCGAAAAAGAAACUCAGUGUCAACUAUAUACUCAUAAUAUACUCGGAGUAUACUAUAUACUGUUAAACAUUAGGUUUGAAAAGUUGUUGUCCUUUGAUAUGAGAAUGUCUAUUACAUUAAGUUUACAUUGCCAAUAUCCCUUAUGGUGAAGAAAAAUAGAUACUGUGUAUAUAUUUAAAUAAAAAGUAUAAAAAAUAAUUUUAAAAUUUUAAUGGAGAAGAUUUAGUAAGAAUCAGAGUAUCAUAUACCUGAAAUAAACUCGUUAUAUACUUAUAAUAUAUUGUUUACUAUAUUUUUUCGGGUUAAUAAUAACAAUACUAUAAAAAAUUUAGUUCUUUUCAUACGAGCAUUUUAUCAAACAUCUAAACUGUAAUAUCUGGUUUAACAAAAUCAGUUAUAUUUCUACGUGAUUUUUCAUUUAAAAUAAAAAUUCAAAAUACAAAUACUAAAGAAUAUAUAAAAAAGAAAUUUUAUUUCCUUGAUUAUGAGAAAAUCUUUAUUAGUGUCCCAAGCAAUUCUCAACAAGAACAAAAGAAAUAGUAUAGUUUAAAUUCUUUCAAAUAAAUCUAAACUAAAGUCGCUUUAGAUUCUUUACUCUUCUCUUUUUUAUUUUUGUUUAAAAAAGUUUUUAGCCAUCAAAAAAUCAUCUUCCAUCACUACAUAUCAAAACUAAAUAUUUGAAUGUAACAAAAUAAUCCAACUAGUAAGGAAAAAGUUUAGAGAAACAGAGAAUAAAAAAUGACAAUAACGAUGGCACUGCUUUCUUCUUUUAUUAACAAUGUUCAUCUUUUCUUCAAUUCUACCUCCUUCUGUUACAUGGUUCUCUUCUUUUUUUCUUCUUGUAGUUUUAUUCUUUUUUAAUCUUUUAGUCUCAUUAUAGUAAUUAUAGUUUGUUUUCUCUUUUUUUUUUUCAAUCUUUCUUUAUCUAAUGAACUGUGAAUAAAAAAAGAGAGGAGAAGAAAAAGAUUGAGGAAAGAAAUAUGUGCUUUUCAGUUUAAGCGUAUAAAAAUAAUAUUUUUUAGUUUUAGAGUAAUUUUAUAAAAUUUUAGAAAUGAAAGUAUAAAAGUUAGUUGGUAUAGAUUUUUAGGCAUUUGUAUAGAAAUCCCAUUUUUUAUGAGGAAAUUUCAUGGUGGUUCUUUUAAAACUUUUAAUUUUUUGAGUUUAUUUUACAUUUUGUUUUGAUGAUUUAAAAAGAAAUUUCUUUUUAUUUAUACCAGUUUUUUUUUUUGUUUAUACAAUUUUUUUUAUAUUUUAAAAUUGUGUCAAAAAUACUAACAAUAUACAAAAAAGAAACCAAAAAAAUAUCAUUUAAUUUUUAAGAUAAUGUGUUAUUUUUUUAUUUUAUAUCUUUAUAUCUGAUAUCCUUGAAUUAAAGGAUAUUACAUUGUAUUUUAUAGUAACUAGUGUAUUUUGAUAGGAUUGAAAAGGUGUGUUUCAAAAAAUAUAAAACUAAAAAGAGUUAUUUAAAUGUGCCAAAAAAAUAGUAAUUUUAUAUUUAUAGCGGUUAUUUGAAAUUUUUAUGACAAUGAAAAAGUAAAUAGAGAUAAAAAAUGAAGAUGAUACUGUCAUAACUUUAUUAAGAAAAUCAUACUAAAAUGAUAUCAAAUAAUAAUAAAAAAUACUUUAAAGAAAGCAAUACAAAUAAUAUUUUUACAGAUUUUAGACCAUAAAAAUAAAAAAAAUUUAAACCUUAAGAAUAAAUUUGCACAGUCCAUUUCCCCUAUAUAUGUAAAAAAAGAGACCUUUUUUUAUUAUUGAGCUUUACAUUAUAUGUUCGUUUGUACUUUUAGAAUCUAAAAUAUUUUGAAUACAAACACUAUUUUUUUAUUAUUGAGCUUUACAUUAUAUGUUCGUUUGUCCAUUUCCCCAUCAAAUACUAUUUUUUUAUUAUUGAGCUUUACAUUACAGUAACUCGAUCUUUUUCGUUUUGUACUUUUAUUUUCUAAAUGAAAUUGUUUAUAUAUCCAUUUAUGUGAUUUAAACACAUUUUUUCUAUGAUCUUUCUUUACAAAAUCUAUUAGACACGUGAAAAUUAUUUACUUUCAUGAAUAUCUCUUUUUCUUUUUUCUUUUUUUAAGAAAAAACAGUCCAUGAGCAAUUCUUCCGACAAUAUUUAGACAAAAGAUGAGGAACAAAGACAUUACGAUUGGAACUGUUAUCAUUGGAACGGAAAUCUUGAAAUAUAUAAACAUGACAAUAUAGCAACAAUUCUGAAUGAGAGACUUGAAUUUGUUAGGUGCUUACAUCAAUUUUAUAUCUCACCACACGUUAGACUAGACUAGUAUCCAGCACCUUUUUUUUUUUUUUUAUAAAUCCUCUGCGCUUAGUUUAAAAUAUUAAAUCAAAUAAACUAUUAAUUUAAAUAGUUGUAAUGAUAAUUUUGAGUGGUGUAUAUUUCAAAUUUAGAUUAUUUUAUAUUUGAGUUAUUUUUACUAUUUUAUUUGAAUGGUUUAGUUUCAAACGCUCGAGCCAUGAGUCACUUCAUUCUCAAAAUAUUUAGAAUCUAAAAUAUUUUGAAUAUAAACAGUUUUAAUCUCGAGUCAAUUUAGAUUCAGUUCUUCAAUUAUGUUUUAAAAUGUAAAUCUAAAUAUAUUAAAUUUCAAACAAGACAGUUAAAUCUUCAAAUUUUAAUCAAAUUUUGGUAUUUUUAAUAAUAAUUUUACGGGGAACGCUGAAAAUAAAUAAUUAAAAGAACGAUAACUUACAUUAUAUAUAAUUGAAAUUUAUAAGAUUUAUGGAAUUCAUUCAAUAUAAAGUGUAUGUGCUUUGAAUGAAAUGAAAGUUUCACAUAAUCAAAUUUGUAUGGAAUUAGUUACAGCUAAAUUAAAUUUUAACAAAAUA